GGGACACGUGAUAUCCUGUCUGAAUAUGGGGGGACCAUCCUCCAAGGCUAAAUACUACUGACUGACCGAUAGUGAACCAGUACCGUGAGGGAAAGGCGAAAAGAACCCCUGUGAGGGGAGUGAAAUAGAACCUGAAACCGUGUACGUACAAGCAGUAGGAGCACCUUCGUGGUGUGACUGCGUACCUUUUGUAUAAUGGGUCAGCGACUUAUAUUCAGUGGCAAGGUUAACCAUCUAGGGGAGCCGUAGGGAAACCGAGUCUUAACUGGGCGUUCAGUCUCUGGAUAUAGACCCGAAACCAGGUGAUCUAGCCAUGGGCAGGUUGAAGGUUGAGUAACAUCAACUGGAGGACCGAACCGACUAAUGUUGAAAAAUUAGCGGAUGACUUGUGGCUAGGGGUGAAAGGCCAAUCAAACCUGGAGAUAGCUGGUUCUCCCCGAAAGCUAUUUAGGUAGCGCCUCGGACGAAUACUACUGGGGGUAGAGCACUGUUAAGGCUAGGGGGUCAUCCCGACUUACCAACCCUUUGCAAACUCCGAAUACCAGUAAGUACUAUCCGGGAGACACACGGCGGGUGCUAACGUCCGUCGUGGAGAGGGAAACAACCCAGACCGCCAGCUAAGGUCCCAAAUUACUACUAAGUGGGAAACGAUGUGGGAAGGCUCAGACAGCCAGGAUGUUGGCUUAGAAGCAGCCAUCAUUUAAAGAAAGCGUAAUAGCUCACUGGUCGAGUCGGCCUGCGCGGAAGAUGUAACGGGGCUAAGUAGUAAACCGAAGCUGCGGCAAUGCACUUUAGUGCAUUGGGU
Molecule: ribosomal RNA, 805 nt
Filed under: Vibrio harveyi
Lineage: Bacteria; Pseudomonadati; Pseudomonadota; Gammaproteobacteria; Vibrionales; Vibrionaceae
Description: partial 23S ribosomal RNA
Rfam family: Bacterial large subunit ribosomal RNA
Source: RNAcentral